CGGAUACCCGUAGACUUGCAUGUCGUACCGGGUAGCCGUAACCUGGCUCAUGUAAGUCUUAGUGGGGAACGGGAGAGUUUAGUCUGGGAAACUGCCUGAUGGAGGGGGAUAACUACUGGAAACGGUAGCUAAUACCGCAUAACGUCGCAAGACCAAAGAGGGGGACCUUCGGGCCUCUUGCCAUCGGAUGUGCCCAGAUGGGAUUAGCUAGUAGGUGGGGUAACGGCUCACCUAGGCGACGAUCCCUAGCUGGUCUGAGAGGAUGACCAGCCACACUGGAACUGAGACACGGUCCAGACUCCUACGGGAGGCAGCAGUGGGGAAUAUUGCACAAUGGGCGCAAGCCUGAUGCAGCCAUGCCGCGUGUAUGAAGAAGGCCUUCGGGUUGUAAAGUACUUUCAGCGGGGAGGAAGGGAGUAAAGUUAAUACCUUUGCUCAUUGACGUUACCCGCAGAAGAAGCACCGGCUAACUCCGUGCCAGCAGCCGCGGUAAUACGGAGGGUGCAAGCGUUAAUCGGAAUUACUGGGCGUAAAGCGCACGCAGGCGGUUUGUUAAGUCAGAUGUGAAAUCCCCGGGCUCACCUGGGAACUGCAUCUGAUACUGGCAAGCUUGAGUCUCGUAGA
This 624-nucleotide ribosomal RNA is filed under the name Escherichia coli. RNAcentral describes it as "bacterial SSU rRNA". It matches the Rfam family "Bacterial small subunit ribosomal RNA", at positions 40 to 655 of the family's 1533-position model. The record is from RNAcentral. Lineage: Bacteria; Pseudomonadati; Pseudomonadota; Gammaproteobacteria; Enterobacterales; Enterobacteriaceae.